RNAcentral lists this ribosomal RNA (252 nucleotides) under uncultured bacterium. RNAcentral describes it as "partial 16S ribosomal RNA". It matches the Rfam family "Bacterial small subunit ribosomal RNA", at positions 524 to 775 of the family's 1533-position model. The record is from RNAcentral.
UACGAAGGGGGCUAGCGUUGCUCGGAAUCACUGGGCGUAAAGCGCACGUAGGCGGACUCUUAAGUCAGGGGUGAACUCCUGGAGCUCAACUCCAGAACUGCCUUUGAUACUGGGAGUCUCGAGUUCGGGAGAGGUGAGUGGAACUGCGAGUGUAGAGGUGAAAUUCGUAGAUAUUCGCAAGAACACCAGUGGCGAAGGCGGCUCACUGGCCCGAUACUGACGCUGAGGUGCGAAAGCGUGGGGAGCAACAGG